ACGGAGGUUGCAAGCGUUGUCCGGAAUUACUAGGCGUAAAGGGCAGGUAGGCGGAUCUAUAAGUUUGAUGUUAAAGGCAGUGGCUCACCCAUUGUACGGCAUUAGAUACUGUAGAUCUGGAAUACGGUUGGGGAAGACAGAAUUCCUGGUGUAGCGGUGAAAUGCGUAGAGAUCAGGAGGAAUACCAAUGGCGAAGGCGACCUACUGAGCCGUUAUUGACGCUAAGCUGCGAAGGUGUGGGUAUCAAACAG
RNAcentral lists this ribosomal RNA (251 nucleotides) under uncultured prokaryote. RNAcentral describes it as "partial 16S rRNA". It matches the Rfam family "Bacterial small subunit ribosomal RNA", at positions 525 to 775 of the family's 1533-position model. The record is from RNAcentral.